AUGGUUCGAAUUAGAAUUCCACCAUCAAGGGUUCGUGGCCAGCAUGUCCUACUACUUUGGCAAAUGAUGCAGGAGCUUGGGGCACCAUGUCCUCAAUUCUUUGAAGAGAUGCCAGAUGAUGGAACACACUCCUACAGACGUGUAGUUGUGGUGCUCAGCGGUGUUCCAUCAGACAUGGACUUCUAUGUGGAGCUCUCCACAAUGCAGCGGUCAUCCGAUGACACUCUACCCAUGCAGGAGGUUGCCAAGGAAGCUAUGCUUGGACUGCGAGCAUGCUUUGGAGAGAAACUACGCACCACCGGAUACCGUGACUUGCCAGCACUUAAUUCUGGGAGUUUUGGGCAGAACCAUCAACAAGGACCUAGAGGAGCAAGCCUGGGUGUUGGGUCUUCAUCAGCUCAGCCUACACCUGCCGGUUCAACAGUUAGCACCACUUCUAGUAUGACAAUGAUUGCUGAUACGAUGAUGUAUCAUACAAUGAAGGAGGAGCUUAUUAGACACCAGGAAGCAACCCAAUUCUGGUAUCAAUGCUAUCAGAUGAGCGAACAUGAUAGGAUUAUGCUUCAGGGAGCACUAAAUGCUAUGCCUGGAGGUCCUCUGAAUCCUAUAGUAGUACCAGGUGAUGUUCAAGAGGAAGAAGAGGAGGAUCCAGAGGAAGUAGAACCAGAGGAACCGGAAGAAGUUGAGGGAGUAGAGAACCCAAAUGAGCCACUAGUUCCACCCCCACCAAACGUACCACCUACACCACCCCAGCCACUACCUGAGCAUAUAGAUGAACCAGAACCAGCCCUACAGCCAGAUAUAGAGCAGCAGCAGCUACCCCACUUCCCUAUCCCACGACCACACCAACCUGACUUUAUCCACCCACACAUGAGUGUCAGCUUGAGGGAGUACAGGGAGGUUGCUACCUAUGCAAGGGUACUUGGGCUUGGCACGAGUGGCAGCGGAGGAAGCAAUGGAAGUGGCAGCGGUAGCAACAAUGGCAGUGGCAGCAGCAUCGUCUAA
RNAcentral lists this ribosomal RNA (1005 nucleotides) under Triticum aestivum (bread wheat). RNAcentral describes it as "partial small subunit ribosomal RNA". The record is from RNAcentral. Lineage: Eukaryota; Viridiplantae; Streptophyta; Magnoliopsida; Poales; Poaceae.